GAUGAACGCUGGCGGCGUGCCUAAUACAUGCAAGUCGAGCGAACAGACGAGGAGCUUGCUCCUCUGACGUUAGAGGCGGACGGGUGAGUAACACGUGGAUAACCUACCUAUAAGACUGGGAUAACUUCGGGAAACCGGAGCUAAUACCGGAUAAUAUAUUGAACCGCAUGGUUCAAUAGUGAAAGACGGUUUUGCUGUCACUUAUAGAUGGAUCCGCGCCGCAUUAGUUAGUUGGUAAGGUAACGGCUUACCAAGGCAACGAUGCGUAGCCGACCUGAGAGGGUGAUCGGCCACACUGGAACUGAGACACGGUCCAGACUCCUACGGGAGGCAGCAGUAGGGAAUCUUCCGCAAUGGGCGAAAGCCUGACGGAGCAACGCCGCGUGAGUGAUGAAGGUCUUCGGAUCGUAAAACUCUGUUAUUAGGGAAGAACAAAUGUGUAAGUAACUAUGCACGUCUUGACGGUACCUAAUCAGAAAGCCACGGCUAACUACGUG
RNAcentral lists this ribosomal RNA (497 nucleotides) under uncultured bacterium. RNAcentral describes it as "partial 16S ribosomal RNA". It matches the Rfam family "Bacterial small subunit ribosomal RNA", at positions 28 to 507 of the family's 1533-position model. The record is from RNAcentral.